UCAAGCUACAAAGAGCACAAGGGGAAUGCCUUGGCAUCGGGAGCCGAAGAAGGACGCGACUAACUGCGAUAAGCUACGGGGAGCCGUAAGUAGGCAUUGAUCCGUAGAUUUCCGAAUGGAGCAAUCCGGCUAGAGUCAUGUCUAGUCAUCAUAUACUGAAUAAAAUAGGUGUAUGAGGGGAACCGCCUGAACUGAAACAUCUAAGUAGGGCGAGGAAAAGAAAUCAACCGAGAUUCCGCUAGUAGUGGCGAGCGAACGCGGAAGAGGCCAAACCGAGAGUAGUAAUACUUUCGGGGUUAGGACAGAAAUGUGUACACAGAGGUUUAGCAGAAUUGUAUGGGAAGGCAAACCAAAGAGAGUGAAAGUCUCGUAUGCGAAAAACUGAAGUGGCUAUCUGAAUCCAGAGUACCGCCGGACACGAGGAAUCCGGUGGGAAUACGGGGGGACCAUCCUCCAAGCCUAAAUACUAACCGAUGACCGAUAGAGAAGAGUACCGUGAGGGAAAGGUGAAAAGCACCCCGGGAGGGGAGUGAAAGAGAACCUGAAACCUUGUGCUUACAAGCACCGAGAGCCCGUCAAAGGGUGAUCGGGUACCUAUUGUAGAAUGGUCCGGCGAGUGAAUGUUACUGGCGAGGUUAAGCACCUAAGGUGUGGAGCCAAAGCGAAAGCAAGUCUGAAUAGGGCGAUUUUAAGUCAGUAGUAUUCGACCCGAAACCGGGUGACCUACCCAUGUCCAGGUUGAAGUGGAGGUAAAACUCCAUGGAGGACCGAACCGACUCCCGUUGAAAUGGUAGCGGAUGAGGUGUGGGUAGCGGAGAAAUUCCAAUCGAACCCGGAGAUAGCUGGUUCUCUCCGAAAUAGCUUUAGGGCUAGCCUCGGAAUAGAUUACUGGAGGUAAAGCACUGAAUGGGCUAGGGGCCGAGAGGUUACUGAACCCUAUCAAACUAAGAAUGCCAGAUAAUUGUUUUCCGGGAGUCAGACGGCGUGAGAUAAGUUUCGUCGUCAAAAGGGAAAGAGCCCAGACCCACAGCUAAGGUCCCAAAGUAUAGUUAAGUGGAAAAGGAUGUGGGGUUGCCCAGACAACCAGGAUGUUGGCUUAGAAGCAGCCACUCAUUAAAAGAGUGCGUAAUAGCUCACUGGUCGAGUGACCCUGCGCCGAAAAUUCAACGGGGCUAAAUUAUACACCGAAGCUUGGGAUACCGCAAGGUAUGGUAGGAGAGCGUUCUGUAAGGAGUGAAGUGAGAGCGAAAGCGUUCGUGGACUUUACAGAAGUGAGAAUGCCGGAAUGAGUAGCGAGAAAUAUGUGAGAAUCAUAUUGGCCGAAAGUCUAAGGUUUUUGGAGGAAGGUUCGUCCGCUCCAAGUAAGUCGGGAGCUAAGGUGAGGCCUAACGGCGUAGCCGAUGCACAUACGGUAGAUAUUCCGUAACCACCGAAAGAUUUAAACACAGGGACACCUUGAAAGGGCAUAUCCCGGGAGUUGGUUUACCCGGGCGUAAGGGAUCGAAAUUUGAGUAGAGAAGUAUGUUUGGACGAGGGCGAGAAAAGCUGUGCGUAUAUUUUAGGUGCCCGUACCGCAAACCGACACAGGUGGACAGGAAGAGGAUUCUAAGGCCAACGGGAGAAGGGUAAUUAAGGAACUCGGCAAAUUGACCCCGUAACUUAGGGAUAAGGGGUGCUCAUAGAAAUAUGAGCCGCAGAGAAUAGGCCCAGGCAACUGUUUAUCAAAAACACAGGUCUCUGCCAAAUCGAAAGAUGAAGUAUAGGGGCUGACACCUGCCCGGUGCUGGAAGGUUAAGAGGAGGAGUGAGAGCUCCGAAUUGAAGCCCCAGUAAACGGCGGCCGUAACUAUAACGGUCCUAAGGUAGCGAAAUUCCUUGUCGGGUAAGUUCCGACCCGCACGAAUGGUGUAAUGAUCUGGGCACUGUCUCAAUUACCCGCCCGGCGAAAUUGUAGUACCGGUGAAGAUGCCGGUUACCCGCGACAAGACGGAAAGACCCCAUGGAGCUUUACUGCAGCUUGAUAUUGGGUUUCGGUAAUCUAUGUACAGGAUAGGCGGGAGACUAGGAAGUAAAGGCGCCAGCUUUUACGGAGUCGCCCUUGGGAUACCGCUCUUAGAUUGCUGGAAUUCUAACCUGCGGCCAUGAAACUGGUCGGGGAACAUUGUCAGGCGGGCAGUUUGACUGGGGCGGUCGCCUCCUAAAGAGUA
Molecule: ribosomal RNA, 2206 nt
Filed under: human gut metagenome
Description: bacterial LSU rRNA
Rfam family: Bacterial large subunit ribosomal RNA
Source: RNAcentral